UACUCCUUAAAAUCUAAUGGAACAAUAUACGUUUCAUUCAAAUCCUCCAACUUAGGUUUCUCCAAUUUCAGUUCCUUUUUCUGGACACCAUUAACAGGCGUAUCUUCUGAAAACUUUUGCUUCAACUCUGGACGUUUUUGCCCUUGAGGUGGUGACAUGGUUUGCUCCAACUUAGGUUUCUCCAGUUUCAAGUCCUUUUUUGGGACAACAUUAACAUGUGUAUCUUCUGAAAACUUUUGCUUCAAUUCUGGAAGCUUUUGCCCUUGAGGUGGUGACAAGGUUUGAGCCUUUCUUAAAGCUCCUUGUAUAUCCUCAUGUUUACAGGGCUCAGUUAUGACAGAUACUGCAUACUGAGCACUGGGUACAUUAGGUACAUUAGGAACAGCAAGGGUGACUUUAUUAGAAAAAUAUGUGUU
Molecule: long non-coding RNA, 416 nt
Filed under: Lactuca sativa (garden lettuce)
Lineage: Eukaryota; Viridiplantae; Streptophyta; Magnoliopsida; Asterales; Asteraceae
Description: long non-coding RNA (LSAT_LNC000128)
Source: RNAcentral